RNAcentral lists this ribosomal RNA (450 nucleotides) under uncultured bacterium. Its description in RNAcentral is "bacterial SSU rRNA". It matches the Rfam family "Bacterial small subunit ribosomal RNA", at positions 28 to 476 of the family's 1533-position model. The record is from RNAcentral.
GAUGAACGCUGGCGGCGUGCUUAACACAUGCAAGUCGAACGAAGCACUCUACUUGAUCUCUUCGGAGUGAUUGUUUUGUGACUGAGUGGCGGACGGGUGAGUAACGCGUGGGUAACCUGCCUCAUACAGGGGGAUAACAGUUGGAAACGACUGCUAAUACCGCAUAAGCGCACAGGGUCGCGUGACCUGGUGUGAAAAACUCCGGUGGUAUGAGAUGGACCCGCGUCUGAUUAGCCAGUUGGUGGGGUAACGGCCUACCAAAGCGACGAUCAGUAGCCGACCUGAGAGGGUGACCGGCCACAUUGGGACUGAGACACGGCCCAAACUCCUACGGGAGGCAGCAGUGGGGAAUAUUGCACAAUGGGGGAAACCCUGAUGCAGCGACGCCGCGUGAGCGAAGAAGUAUUUCGGUAUGUAAAGCUCUAUCAGCAGGGAAGAAGAAAUGACGGU